Candidatus Buchananbacteria bacterium is the source of this 85-nucleotide non-coding RNA. NCBI's taxonomy places the organism in Bacteria, Candidatus Buchananiibacteriota. The record is from Rfam.
GCCGAAGUGGCGGAACUUGGUAGACGCGCACGGUUCAGAGCCGUGUGGGAGCAAUCCCGUGGAGGUUCAAGUCCUCUCUUCGGCA